RNAcentral lists this ribosomal RNA (468 nucleotides) under uncultured bacterium. RNAcentral's name for it is "partial 16S ribosomal RNA". It matches the Rfam family "Bacterial small subunit ribosomal RNA", at positions 28 to 507 of the family's 1533-position model. The record is from RNAcentral.
GAUGAACGCUGGCGGCGUGCUUAACACAUGCAAGUCGAACGGAAAGGCCCAAGCUUGCUUGGGUACUCGAGUGGCGAACGGGUGAGUAACACGUAGGUGAUCUGCCCUGCACUUCGGGAUAAGCCUGGGAAACUGGGUCUAAUACCGGAUAGGACCACUUCUUGGAUGUUGUGGUGGAAAGUUUUUUCGGUGUGGGAUGAGCUCGCGGCCUAUCAGCUUGUUGGUGGGGUAAUGGCCUACCAAGGCGUCGACGGGUAGCCGGCCUGAGAGGGUGUACGGCCACAUUGGGACUGAGAUACGGCCCAGACUCCUACGGGAGGCAGCAGUGGGGAAUAUUGCACAAUGGGCGCAAGCCUGAUGCAGCGACGCCGCGUGGGGGAUGACGGCCUUCGGGUUGUAAACUCCUUUCGCUAGGGACGAAGCGUUUUUGUGACGGUACCUGGAGAAGAAGCACCGGCUAACUACGUG